GUGCUUGUGUUGGCAGCACAUAUACUAAAAUUGAAAUGAUACAGAGAAAAUUAGCAUGGCCCCACUGUGCAAGAGUGACUAGCAAAUUCGUGAAGCAUGUCAUAUUUAA
Molecule: small nuclear RNA, 109 nt
Filed under: Aotus nancymaae (Ma's night monkey)
Lineage: Eukaryota; Metazoa; Chordata; Mammalia; Primates; Aotidae
Source: RNAcentral